ACCUCCGGCUAUGCCACCUUGAACAAGUCCGAUCCCGUCUGAUCUUGGAAACUAAGCAAGGUCAGGCCUGGUUAGUACUUGGAUGGGAGACCACCUAGGAAGACUAGGAGCUACAGGCU
Molecule: ribosomal RNA, 119 nt
Organism: Pteropus vampyrus (large flying fox)
Lineage: Eukaryota; Metazoa; Chordata; Mammalia; Chiroptera; Pteropodidae
Source: Ensembl